This 403-nucleotide ribosomal RNA is filed under the name uncultured prokaryote. RNAcentral describes it as "bacterial SSU rRNA". It matches the Rfam family "Bacterial small subunit ribosomal RNA", at positions 355 to 774 of the family's 1533-position model. The record is from RNAcentral.
UGGGGAAUUUUACACAAUGGGCGAAAGCCUGAUGUAGCAACGCCGCGUGGAGGAUGAAGGAUUUAGGUUCGUAAACUCCUUUUAUAGGGGAAGAAAUUUGACGGUACCCUAUGAAUAAGCAUCGGCUAACUCCGUGCCAGCAGCCGCGGUAAUACGUAUGGGGCUAGCGUUGUUCGGAAUUAUUGGGCGUAAAGGGCGUCUAGGCGGGGGAUUAAGUUAGGUGUGAAAUCCCUGGGCUCAACCCAGGAACUGCAUCUAAAACUGGUUCUCUUGAGUUCGGGAGAGGAGAGCGGAAUUCCCGGUGUAGCGGUGAAAUGCGUAGAUAUCGGGAAGAACACCAGUGGCGAAGGCGGCUCUCUGGCCUAGGACUGACGCUGAAGCGCGAAAGCGUGGGGAGCGAACA